CAGCAUCAGCGACGGACGUACUUAGUGCAGUCAAGAAAGAAAUAAAUCGUGAAUCUCGUUCUGUCAUUGAUAUAAAGAAAUUAAUCUCGCUACCCAUAAGUGGGCAGUGAAAUAGAUAUUUUGGUGCAGAAUUGUUGGCAACGAGGAAAAAAAAGGGAAAACAACAAAAAUAAGUCCACACGCAGCAAGUUGAAGGCCAGCUUUAUUAAUUUAGUGGCGGCGCAAUAGCGUGAGGCCCCAUAAAG
Molecule: long non-coding RNA, 245 nt
Organism: Scaptodrosophila lebanonensis
Lineage: Eukaryota; Metazoa; Arthropoda; Insecta; Diptera; Drosophilidae
Exons: 3
Source: RefSeq, a predicted model, not a curated record